CAGUGCCAGAAAGGGGUCGGUCAGGCUGUAGUGGCUGUAGCGCUCCUGCAGGAACACUUCCCUCCUUUGAGCCUGCAGAAGAAAUGACAAUUUAGGCUACCGUAAUUUCUGGCCGCAAGGGGGCCCUCGAGCGGAAAAGCUGCUUAAUAACUCCACGGAGCCUGGCGACGAGCGAUGGAUCAGCGCUGGUGUGUCGUCGCUGGAUGUCGCUUGCAAGCUCAUCUGACAUCUGCAGCUGGCACCUUCUUGGAGAUGUUCCACGCGGGAUCAUCCUCUCCGUCACGUCACAAGACUCGUAACACUUUGUCGAAACCUGGCAGACACCUUGGGCUUUUACCGGUGUUUUCUGUGACAUCAAUCCAAGCCAAAAAAUAUCAGCUAAUGUGCGCUGAGAUCAGGUGACCAGCAUUGGACUGCGUGAAAUGGGCCCCUACAAACAAGAAACUUCCCCCCCACCUUAAGCCAGCUACAGCGAGUGUGACAGGAGCGUGCAAAGAGCAAAGAGCUUUAUUUAACCAAGGCAUGGCAGCAGUUAGGGUGUUGGGGGGGGGGGGGGUGUUAGUUUGGGGUAGCGGGAGGGCGCAGAGGCGGAAGUGAGCGAGAUGAGCCGGCUCGAAUACCAUGUCGCUGGUGCACCUGUUUUGCUUUGCCGCCAAGCGAAGGCGGCCUGGAGCGGGUUCUGGAAGGGGUGAUGGGUCGGAGGAGGAGGGGGUUGCUGACACGGUACUCCCAGCUAUGCCCGCUGAGUCACUGAAAUUAAGACCAAUUUAGAAAGGUGUCUGGUGAACACAACCAACCCCCCCUUACACCGCCUCCUCACCUCGUACCGUCACUCAAACCCACCCACACGCUUUCCCUCAGUGCCUGUUAGGGCUGUGUGAUUUGGCAAAAAAAAAUAUAAAUCACGAUUAUAUUUUUUGCUAUCGUUUGAUCUUGCUUAUCAGAAUUAUUUUAUAGUUUUAAACUUCAUAACUGCUAGUUUUAAAGCAUCUAGACUGAACACUGAAGACGCUAGAGAGUAGUUCAGUCAGCCCCAAGUGUGAAUGUUUUUAAUUCCAGGUUGAAAACUUUUUUUUUCUCAUGCUUUUUAGAAUACCUCCACUUUUUGAUCAUAUU
Syngnathoides biaculeatus (alligator pipefish) is the source of this 1116-nucleotide long non-coding RNA. RefSeq lists it as uncharacterized. Lineage: Eukaryota; Metazoa; Chordata; Actinopteri; Syngnathiformes; Syngnathidae. The record is from RefSeq and is a predicted model, not a curated record. The transcript has 3 exons.